UCCUGCUCAAUGAUUUUAAAUAGCCGCAGUACCCUGACUGUGCAAAGGUAGCAUAAUCAGUUGGCUUUUAAUUGGAGUCUAGAAUGAAUGGAUUUUUGGAAAAUAACUUUCUUUUUUUAUUUUUUGGAAAUUAGUUUGUAAGUGAAAAUACUUACAUAUACAUAAAGGACGAGAAGACCCUAGAAAUUUAAAUAUAAUUUUGUUGGGGCGACAGAAUUACAAAAAACUAAUUUGUUUAACGUGACGUUUUUACAGGUCGAUUAAAUUACUCUAGGGAUAACAGCAUAAUUUUAACAGUUUGUGACCUCGAUGUUGGACUAGGAUAUUAAAUGGUCUAGAAGAUCUUUAAUAAGGCUCUGUUCGAGCAUUUUUUCCUACGUGAUCUGAUUUCAGACCGGA
This 399-nucleotide ribosomal RNA is filed under the name Theba impugnata. RNAcentral describes it as "partial 16S ribosomal RNA". It matches the Rfam family "Archaeal large subunit ribosomal RNA", at positions 1949 to 2689 of the family's 2987-position model. The record is from RNAcentral. Lineage: Eukaryota; Metazoa; Mollusca; Gastropoda; Stylommatophora; Helicidae.